Serinus canaria (Common canary) is the source of this 273-nucleotide long non-coding RNA. RefSeq lists it as uncharacterized. The transcript has 3 exons. NCBI's taxonomy places the organism in Eukaryota, Metazoa, Chordata, Aves, Passeriformes, Fringillidae. The record is from RefSeq and is a predicted model, not a curated record.
AGGUGCUGUGCUCUCAGCCUCUGCUCACACCUGAAACAGCAGCCCACCUUGUCUGGAGGAGGCUCUAUGGUUGUUUUACCCAGUUGGUGCAAGCUCCUCAUUAUUUGAAAGUGAUUUGCAGAAAAAGUGCUAUUAGGAAAAUGAGGCUGAUGGCGCUUGAGGAAUUUGCCACCGAGGAGCUCUGGGAGGCAUUCACUUGCAGUGAUGGUGGCUCUCCAAAGGUGAUGAAUGGCGUUCAUUUGGCUUAGGACAGACAGCCUCCAGUUUGUGUCU